AUGUCUUGCCUCGCCGCGUCCUCGGCGACGCCGCCAGCGUCAAGGCCUACGGCCCAGCGUCUGUUUGUUGCGGUGGCCGCUCCUCCCCGUUGGCGGUCCGUUGAGCCUCAUCGCGCUGUAUGGAGGAGUGAAGGCCCCCGGGCUCUAACGAUGCUACGGAGGUGCUCUCCCGCCGGCGACUCCAGGGCGCCCGGAGACGGCAGCCUAUCCAGUUUUUGCAUUAUUGAAGGCCCAGAGACAAUACAAGACUUCGUUCAGAUGCAAUCACAAGAGAUUCAAGACAACAUCAAGAGUCGGCGCAGCAAAAUAUUCCUUUUGAUGGAAGAGGUCAGACGACUGCGGGUGCAGCAGCGAAUCAGAGCUGCUGAAAGCAGAUGUUCCAGCAGUGAAGAAAAUGAGAUGCCGGAGAUGCCAUCUACCAUUCCGUUUUUGCCUUAUACGUCACCAAAGACAAUGAAGCAACUCUACUUGACAUCAUUCUCUUUCAUAUCUGGGAUAAUCAUUUUUGGUGGCUUAAUAGCCCCAAUACUUGAACUGAAAUUAGGGCUUGGUGGUACCUCUUAUGAAGAUUUUAUACGGAACAUGUAUUUACCUCUUCAGUUAAGUCAGGUAGAUCCCAUAGUGGCGUCCUUUUCAGGUGGUGCAGUUGGUGUAAUUUCAGCCUUAAUGUUGGUUGAAGUGAAAAAUGUGAGGCAGCAAGAAAAGAACAGAUGCACAUAUUGCCAUGGGACAGGAUACCUGCCAUGUGCCCGUUGCUCUGCCAGCAAAAUGUUGUUGGGCACCAAACGCUUUUCACUUUCUACAACUGAACGCUGUUCCAAUUGUUCAGGAGCUGGGAAGGUGAUGUGCCCAACAUGCUUGUGCACGGGAAUGGCAAUGGCAAGUGAGCAUGACCCACGUAUAGAUCCCUUUGACUAA
RNAcentral lists this ribosomal RNA (918 nucleotides) under Triticum aestivum (bread wheat). Its description in RNAcentral is "partial small subunit ribosomal RNA". Lineage: Eukaryota; Viridiplantae; Streptophyta; Magnoliopsida; Poales; Poaceae. The record is from RNAcentral.